This 593-nucleotide long non-coding RNA is filed under the name Rattus norvegicus (Norway rat). Its description in RNAcentral is "long non-coding RNA NONRATT027129". Lineage: Eukaryota; Metazoa; Chordata; Mammalia; Rodentia; Muridae. The record is from RNAcentral.
GCCCAUACUAAUUUGCCUGGUCCCAUGACCAGUAAUAACACCCUGGUGGAUGCUAGUACUCGUAGAGAGUUUAUUUUUCAUGCCGCUCCGGUUGAUCUCGCUAGAGGAUUUCAUCAAAAGUUUCAUGUACCUGCCUUUACUCUUCAACAAAACUUUAAAAUCUCUAGAGCUACAGCCCGUGAUGUGGUGUUACGUUGCCAGAAUUGUGUUCAAUUUCACCACCCUCCUCAUGUGGGGAUUAACCCUCGUGGUCUGAUCCCGCUAAAACUUUGGCAGAUGGAUGUCACACACAUAUCUCAAUUUGGAAAUUUAAAAUAUGCUCAUGUUUCUGUUGAUACCUGUUCCGGUAUUAUACACGCUACUCUGAUGACUGGUGAAAAGGCUCGUAAUGCCAUUAGUCAUUGCUUAGAGGCAUGGGCGGCCUGGGGAAAGCCUGAUAGUCUCAAGACAGACAACGGGCCUGCCUCCACAGCAAAGUCCUUUCAGACAUUUUGCCAGACAAUGCAGGUCGGUCAUACUACAGGAUUACUAUACAAUCCCCAGGGUCAAGGAAUUGUGGAAAGAGCACAUCGUACCUUAAAAGAGCUUAUACA